UCAGGACGAACGCUGGCGGCGUGCUUAACACAUGCAAGUCGAGCGAUGAAGCUUCUUCGGAAGUGGAUUAGCGGCGGACGGGUGAGUAACACGUGGGGUAACCUGCCUCAUAGAGGGGAAUAGCCUUCCGAAAGGAAGAUUAAUACCGCAUAAGAUUGUAAUAUCGCAUGAUAUAGCAAUUAAAGGAGUAAUCCGCUAUGAGAUGGACCCCGCGUCGCAUUAGCUAGUUGGUGAGGUAACGGCUCACCAAGGCGACGAUGCGUAGCCGACCUGAGAGGGUGAUCGGCCACAUUGGGACUGAGACACGGCCCAGACUCCUACGGGAGGCAGCAGUGGGGAAUAUUGCACAAUGGGGGAAACCCUGAUGCAAGCAACGCCGCGUGAGUGAUGACGGUCUUCGGAUUGUAAAGCUCUGUCUUCAGGGACGAUAAUGACGGUACCUGAGGAGGAAGCCACGGCUAACUACGUGCCAGCCGCGGC
RNAcentral lists this ribosomal RNA (480 nucleotides) under uncultured bacterium. RNAcentral's name for it is "bacterial SSU rRNA". It matches the Rfam family "Bacterial small subunit ribosomal RNA", at positions 24 to 518 of the family's 1533-position model. The record is from RNAcentral.